CCAGCUCAUGCUGCAGGUCCUUGGCCUGCAGCUCCAGCCUGGCCCUCCGCUUGACCUGCUCUCACAUCUCUCUGCUCGACUGCUCCUUCCCCGCUUCCAUGGCCUUGAACCAGGACUUCAGCUGGCGGACAACGUGCCGUUUGUCCUUUAAAGGAAGACAGAGCGGGGAGGGAGAGUCUUCAUCUUAAUCUCCAGCUACUAGAAAACUCAAAAUCCCCUGGGGUUGACAAUUCAUUGAGCCCAGAUCAAGACGGCUUUAUCUGAAGCAACGCACAAUAACUUCAUACCAAAGGACGUUGGAACAACUAUGGAACACAGGUCCAAUAAGGAAAUCCCACCUCUUUUAUACUCCACUGAAGAGGUGUAUGUCACUGUUUCCUUUUCUUUAUUUUCUUCAAGUAAUCAAAUAAUUUAGGACAUCAAACAGAACGUUUAAGGCAGUGCAGUAAUUGGGU
This is a long non-coding RNA of Anguilla anguilla (European eel), 455 nucleotides long. RefSeq lists it as uncharacterized. The record is from RefSeq and is a predicted model, not a curated record. Lineage: Eukaryota; Metazoa; Chordata; Actinopteri; Anguilliformes; Anguillidae. The transcript is spliced from 3 exons.